GGAGGGCUUACCAUUAUUACAGCAGCUCUCUGUGGAGCCGGCUCACACACCUGUGAUCUCCCACUGACAUACACACAGAUACACGCAUGCAUACACAGACUACCCAUGUGUAUACAACACAAAAACACACACACACACACACACAGAGCGAAGUAAACUAUAAAAAUGGGUGUUACACACAGUGUAUCCCAUUCAACAAACCGAACAUUCAAAUACCGUUGUAGAAUGUAAAGUAAAACUCUGUUUGUAAGAGUUGCAGAAAUGGUGGCAGUGAAGUCAGACGCAGGAGAGCAGAGAUCGGUAGAGAUAGGUAGAGAUAGGUAGAGAUAGGCAGAGAUAGGCAGAGAUAGGUAGAGAUAGGCAGAGAUAGGCAGAGAUAGGUAGAGAUAGGUAGAGAUAGGUAGAGAUAGGUAGAGAUAGGUAGAGAUAGGCAGAGAUAGGCAGAGAUAGGCAGAGAUAGGCAGAGAUAGGUAGAGAUAGGUAGAGAUAGGUAAUAGCCGGAGCAGUUUCAUUAUAAAACCCACGACAAUACAAAAAUAACCAACAUGGGUACAAAACCCGACGCGCACCAGUAACAUAGCGUACAAGCACUUACAAACAAACAAUUCCACACAAGGACAUGGGGGGAACAGAGGGUUAAAUACACAACAAUUAAUGAUGGAAGUGGAAACCAGGUGUGUAAGAAAACAACACAAAACAAACGGAAAAUGAAAAGUGGAUCGAGGAUGGCUAGAAGACCAAUGAAGCUGACCUCCGAACACCGCCCGAACAAGGAGAGGAAACGACUUGGGUGGAAGUUGUGACAGUACCCCCCCUUGACGCGUGGCUCCAGCAGCGCGCCAACACCGGCCUUGGGGACGACCCGGAGGGCGAGGUGCAGGGUGAUCCGGACGGAGACGGUGGAACUCCCGCAGCAUUGAAGGGUCCAACAUGUCCUCCACCGGAUCCCAGCAUCUCUCCUCCGAACCGUACCCCUCCCUGUUCAUGAGGUACUGAAGGCCCCUCGCUCGACGUCUCAAAUCCAGUAUGGAUCGAACGGAGUACGCCGGGGCCCCCUCGAUGUCCAGAGGGGGCGGAGGAACCUCCCGCACCUCAGACUCCUGGAGCGGGCCAGCCACCACCGGCCUGAGGAGAGACACAUGGAACGAGGGGCUAAUACCGUAAUCGGGGGGAAAUUGUAACCUGUAACUCACCUCAUUCAGUCUCCUCAGGACUUUAAAUGGCCCCACAAACCGUGGACCCAGCUUCCGGCAGGGCAGGCGGAGGGGCAGGUUUCGGGUCGAGAGCUAGACCCGGUUGAACACCGGGGCCUCACUGCGGUAAUGGUGGCGCAGCACGGCGCGCUGAAGGUGAACAUGGGCGGCGUUCCAUGUUUCCUCCAAGCACCAGAACCAGUUGUCCACCGCAGGAGCCUUGGUCUGACUCUGAUGCCAAGGAGCCAGAACCUGGCUGAUACCCCAGUAGGCACUGGAAGGGGGAGAGGUUAGUGGAGGAGUG
This is a long non-coding RNA of Oncorhynchus tshawytscha (Chinook salmon), 1497 nucleotides long. The record is from Ensembl. Lineage: Eukaryota; Metazoa; Chordata; Actinopteri; Salmoniformes; Salmonidae.